RNAcentral lists this ribosomal RNA (584 nucleotides) under uncultured bacterium. RNAcentral describes it as "bacterial SSU rRNA". It matches the Rfam family "Bacterial small subunit ribosomal RNA", at positions 55 to 631 of the family's 1533-position model. The record is from RNAcentral.
AUGCAGUCGAGCGGUAGCACAGGGAGCUUGCUCCUGGGUGACGAGCGGCGGACGGGUGAGUAAUGUCUGGGAAACUGCCUGAUGGAGGGGGAUAACUACUGGAAACGGUAGCUAAUACCGCAUAACGUCGCAAGACCAAAGAGGGGGACCUUCGGGCCUCUUGCCAUCAGAUGUGCCCAGAUGGGAUUAGCUAGUAGGUGGGGUAAUGGCUCACCUAGGCGACGAUCCCUAGCUGGUCUGAGAGGAUGACCAGCCACACUGGAACUGAGACACGGUCCAGACUCCUACGGGAGGCAGCAGUGGGGAAUAUUGCACAAUGGGCGCAAGCCUGAUGCAGCCAUGCCGCGUGUAUGAAGAAGGCCUUCGGGUUGUAAAGUACUUUCAGCGAGGAGGAAGGCAUUGUGGUUAAUAACCACAGUGAUUGACGUUACUCGCAGAAGAAGCACCGGCUAACUCCGUGCCAGCAGCCGCGGUAAUACGGAGGGUGCAAGCGUUAAUCGGAAUUACUGGGCGUAAAGCGCACGCAGGCGGUCUGUCAAGUCGGAUGUGAAAUCCCCGGGCUCAACCUGGGAACUGCAUUCGAA